Molecule: ribosomal RNA, 268 nt
Filed under: uncultured bacterium
Lineage: Bacteria
Description: partial 16S ribosomal RNA
Rfam family: Bacterial small subunit ribosomal RNA
Source: RNAcentral
GUCCUAGCCGUAAACGGUGCUUGCUUGCUGUAAAAGGAAUCUACCCCUUUUUGUGGCGGAGCUAACGCGUUAAGCAAGCCGCCUGGGAAGUACGGUCGCAAGAUUAAAACUCAAAGAAAUUGACGGGGGCCUGCACAAGCGGUGGAGUAUGUGGCUUAAUUCGAUGCAACGCGAAGAACCUUACCUGGCCUUGACAUGCAAGUAGUAGAAUCCUGAAAGGGAGACGAGGUAGCAAUACCAGCUUGCACAGGUGCUGCAUGGCUGUCGU